GGAAGGAUGGCAGAGUGGUCUAUUGCGGCUGUCUUGAAAACAGCUGGGUUAACAGCCCCGGGGGUUCGAAUCCCUCUCCUUCCGCCA
This 87-nucleotide transfer RNA is filed under the name Ktedonobacteraceae bacterium. RNAcentral describes it as "tRNA-Ser". It matches the Rfam family "tRNA". From Rfam's summary of the family: Transfer RNA (tRNA) molecules are approximately 80 nucleotides in length. Lineage: Bacteria; Bacillati; Chloroflexota; Ktedonobacteria; Ktedonobacterales; Ktedonobacteraceae. The record is from RNAcentral.